RNAcentral lists this ribosomal RNA (253 nucleotides) under uncultured bacterium. RNAcentral describes it as "partial 16S ribosomal RNA". It matches the Rfam family "Bacterial small subunit ribosomal RNA", at positions 524 to 776 of the family's 1533-position model. The record is from RNAcentral.
UACAGAGGGGGCAAGCGUUAUUCGGAACUAUUGGGCGUAAAGGGCGCGUAGGCGGCUUUGCAAGUGACGGGUGAAAUCCCUCGGCUUAACCGAGGAACUGCCCGUCAAACUGCAUGGCUUGAGACCGGGAGAGGUGAGUGGAAUUCCCAGUGUAGCGGUGAAAUGCGUAGAUAUUGGGAGGAACACCAGUGGCGAAGGCGGCUCACUGGACCGGUACUGACGCUGAUGCGCGAAAGCGUGGGGAGCAAACAGG